RNAcentral lists this long non-coding RNA (1249 nucleotides) under Chinchilla lanigera (long-tailed chinchilla). RNAcentral's name for it is "lncRNA (ENSCLAG00000027716.1)". Lineage: Eukaryota; Metazoa; Chordata; Mammalia; Rodentia; Chinchillidae. The record is from RNAcentral.
UACAAUGACUCAUCAUGAGAAAAAUAAAGUCUUGAGUGGGGGCUGCCCGAGUGCGGCAGCUGGACACUCUGACAAUGGCGGAAUGUCCCCUGAGCUUUCGCAGGGCGUUGCUACUCACUGCUAUAAGACAAAGACGCAGCCACAGCAGGGUGGGGACGGCUGGAAGGCAACUACAGUGGAGACAGAGCACUUUCCAAGGGCCCUCAGCCUGCAGUGCACCAAGAAACCUCAAAGGUGUGUUCCACUUCUUUUCUCAGCACGAAAUGCUUUGUGGAGACACAUCGCUGCUCCAUGAGGUUGUGGGGUGGAAUGGCCCUUGAAAUCCCUAUCUUCUGUUUGGACCCCUGACACAAAUAAGAAUGAAGCUUGCCUGCAUGCUACAACAUUUCUAAGCUCCAGUGCCCACAAAAUUUCUCAGCACUGAGAAUACAAAACUGUCAUUAUGGCAUCUGUAGAGCCAAAGACUGUAUUUAAGGCUUCAAAAUGAUGCUUAUUAUAAUCCUGUCCUGGACUCUAAUGCCAAAAACUGUACAUGAAGAGUCUCUUGUGAGGAAAUUUGCCAGAGAAGACAGAAUGUAUCUGAUCACACAGGCAGCGUUUUGGAUGGGUUUCAAGCUGUAGAUUUGGGGGAGAAGCGAGUUUCCCCAGGGAGAAUCCAUGCACGGCUGCACCCCGUGCGGUGCAGGAGCUGCCAGCAUCAGAGACUGUGAUGGGAGUGGUACCUCGGGGCUGAGUGCUGUGGCAGCCCUGAUGUCACCCAUGGGAUGUGGGCAAUUGUGGAGGAUGCGAAACCAUGAAUUGAAGAUUGAUGGCUAUGAAACUCAUGCUUUGGUGAGUGCGUGAAGAUUUUAAGGUCUUCUGGGGGAGAACAAGGAGGGGAAUAGGUAGGAAGGCAAGCCCAGCAUGCAGAACUCCAAAAGCAGUCACGCUCGGGUGCGGGGACAGAGGCAUUUACCCUCUGGGAAGUUUUUAUUUUCUAAAAACACUUUCAAAUUCAUCUUUACUACUCAAUGGUCCAAAAAGUCUUGUUUUUAAUAUCUGCUUUUAAAAAAACUGAAUUCAAAGUGAGAAAAAAAGGGAAAAAUGGAAACAACUUUUGUAAAUGGGGUGGGGAGGAGAAGUUAUAGGAAGGGAGGCAAAGAGGAUAAAAAAGAAUCAAGUUAUAUCAAGUACAGGUACAAAUUCUCUAUGAUGAAUGUGAUCAUUAUGCAUAUCUAAAUUAUACCAAUAAAAUCUGAUUUUACAAAAC